RNAcentral lists this transfer RNA (74 nucleotides) under Patescibacteria group bacterium. RNAcentral's name for it is "tRNA-Ala". It matches the Rfam family "tRNA". From Rfam's summary of the family: Transfer RNA (tRNA) molecules are approximately 80 nucleotides in length. The record is from RNAcentral.
GGGCUCAUAGUUCAGUUUGGUAGAAUAUCUCAUUCGCAUUGAGAAGAUCGCCGGUUCGAUUCCGGCUGAGUCCA